Molecule: ribosomal RNA, 440 nt
Filed under: uncultured bacterium
Lineage: Bacteria
Description: partial 16S ribosomal RNA
Rfam family: Bacterial small subunit ribosomal RNA
Source: RNAcentral
CCUACGGGAGGCAGCAGUGGGGAAUAUUGCACAAUGGGGGAAACCCUGAUGCAGCGACGCCGCGUGAGUGAGGAAGUAUUUCGGUAUGUAAAGCUCUAGCAGCAGGGAAGAAAAUGACGGUACCUGACUAAGAAGCCCCGGCUAACGACGGGCCAGCAGCCGCGGUAAUACGUAGGGGGCAAGCGUUCUCCGGAUUUACUGGGUGGAAAGGGAGCGUAGUCGGCUAAUCAAGUCAGAAGUGAAAACCAAGGGCUCAACCUUGGGACUGCUUUUGAAACUGAGUAGCUAGAGUGCAGGAGAGGUAAUCGGCCUUCCUUUUGUAGCGGUGAAAUGCGUAGAUAUUAGGCGGCACCCCAGUGGCGCAGGCGGCUUACUGGACUGUAACUGACGUUGCGGCUCGAACGCGUGGGGAGCAAACCGGAUUAGAUACCCCUGUAGUC